AAGUGUUAAAAAUUUAUAUGUGUAAAAUAUAUUAAACCUAAAACACCUCUGAAGGACCUCAUAUUAUGGACGGGAUGAUGUAUCUAAUAGUUUACACAUAUUGAA
Molecule: small RNA, 105 nt
Filed under: Arabidopsis thaliana (thale cress)
Lineage: Eukaryota; Viridiplantae; Streptophyta; Magnoliopsida; Brassicales; Brassicaceae
Description: ATSL307730
Source: RNAcentral